Molecule: long non-coding RNA, 1038 nt
Organism: Gallus gallus (chicken)
Lineage: Eukaryota; Metazoa; Chordata; Aves; Galliformes; Phasianidae
Source: Ensembl
UGACCCUCUAUACAAGAGGGAAAAAAAAUAGCUGCAAAAUUCAGCUUAUUUAGCAAGGAAAGAAACUCCUAAGAUGGGAGAAAAUGAUGAAGUAGAUGAAGCAGGAUUAUCACAAGAAUAGGAGGAGGGAGAGGCAGAAGUCAUAAAGGAGACAGAAACUGUCUGACUGUGAACCAUGGUCACAGAAUAACAGAACUGUAGGGUGUAAGAGAUUAUUCUUUUGCAUCAUUGUCUCAAAGCUUGCUGAGGGACACAGACGAACAAGUUCAAGCAAGUCCUGACCAAGGAUUGGGAAAUCCUUUGUCUGGAGGGACAACAGAUGGACAAGGCCAGGGGAGAUGAGAGAGAGAAGCUGCGGCUCAAUGGUCAGGAAACAGCCUUUUGUGUGGACUUAUCUCAAGGGAGACAGCCAUCUCAGGGGGUGCUCACAUGAAUCUUACCCAAGCGCCCAGGGAUGUCACAUAGGCAGGGAAGAAGGAGGAUAAAAGAGGAACGAACAACCAUGAGCUAGGGUUUCUGACUACAGAUCCCUCAUGAAGAAAGGUUUCUGUCAACAGAUUCCUCACGACCUGAGACCUGCAUGCUGAAGAACAAGAAGGUUUCUGACAUGAGAAACCUCAUGACCUGCCUCUCCCUCCUGGACUUGCUCUGUGCUCUACCUGCCUGCUGCCUAAGGAGGCUCUCCCUCUGCUGCUGCUCUCCCUCCCGAGAAGGUGUCUGCCAUCAGAUCCCUCACUACAAAAGGCCUGCAUGCUGAUGGACUCUCCAGGGCCUGCUACUGGAGAUCUGCUGUUUCUUCCCAGACUUCUUCCCGGACCUACUCGGUACCUGCACCUUCUCGCUGCCCAAGACUGGCCAUGCUGCUGCUGCUUUCCCCCUGCGCUUUUGCCCUGGACCGUUGGAACGUCAUGCAACAGGACUACUGCCAGAUCCUGGUGGUGACUAUCCCCGCUUUAUGCAAUUCCUGCUUCUUCCUAUCUUUUCUAUUGCUCGCCUUCCCUUCUCCAUCACCCCAAUCCUAAUAGUGUCCAUUCUCCC